This 219-nucleotide ribosomal RNA is filed under the name Triticum aestivum (bread wheat). Its description in RNAcentral is "partial small subunit ribosomal RNA". Lineage: Eukaryota; Viridiplantae; Streptophyta; Magnoliopsida; Poales; Poaceae. The record is from RNAcentral.
AUGACGCCGACUCGUCAUCGCCUUCCUUCGGCACCGCCACCGGGGCGGGUCAACUGUGGCGGUGUGUCGAGGUCGAAGUCAACGUCGCCUCCCUCUCCAGCCCUAGAUCCCGUGGCGAAAAUCGCCACCACCAUACCGGCGCGCUCUUCUCCAUGGCCCUCCAAGGUAACGAGCACGGGUGAGCUCCCCACCACAGCUCCCUCCAUCCCAACGGCAUGA